This 408-nucleotide ribosomal RNA is filed under the name uncultured bacterium. Its description in RNAcentral is "partial 16S ribosomal RNA". It matches the Rfam family "Bacterial small subunit ribosomal RNA", at positions 28 to 526 of the family's 1533-position model. The record is from RNAcentral.
GACGAACGCUGGCGGCGUGCCUCAUACAUGCAAGUCAAGCGAAGCGGCGGAUGGGUGAGUAAAGCGUGGGUAACCUGCCCUUAAGUCUGGGAUACCAUUUGGAAGAAGAUGCUAAUACCGGAUACUAAAGGAUGGACCUGCGAUGCAUUAGCUGGUGGGUAGGGUAACGGCUUAACAAGGCGAUGAUGCAUAGCCGAGUUGAGAGACGGAUCGGCAGCAUUGGGCAUGAGACACGGCCCAAACGCCUACGUGAGGCAGCAGUAGGUAAUCUUCCACAAUGGACGAAAGUCUGAUGGAGCAACGCCGCUGGAGUGAAGAAGGUUUUCGGAUCGUAAAGCUCUGUUGUUGGUGAAGCGGUAAUCAACCAGAAAGUCACGGCUAACUACGGGCCAGCAGCCGCGGUAAUUC